UAUUGGACAAUGGGUGCGAGCCUGAUCCAGCCAUCCCGCGUGAAGGGCGACUGCCCUAUGGGUUGUAAACUUCUUUUGUACAGGGAUAAACCUAUUUACGUGUAAAUAGCUGAAGGUACUGUACGAAUAAGCACCGGCUAACUCCGUGCCAGCAGCCGCGGUAAUACGGAGGGUGCAAGCGUUAUCCGGAUUUAUUGGGUUUAAAGGGUCCGUAGGCGGAUCUGUAAGUCAGUGGUGAAAUCUCACAGCUUAACUGUGAAACUGCCAUUGAUACUGCAGGUCUUGAGUAAAGUAGAAGUGGCUGGAAUAAGUAGUGUAGCGGUGAAAUGCAUAGAUAUUACUUAGAACACCAAUUGCGAAGGCAGGUCACUGUGUUUUAACUGACGCUGAUGGACGAAAGCGUGGGGAGCGAACAGG
This 417-nucleotide ribosomal RNA is filed under the name uncultured bacterium. RNAcentral describes it as "bacterial SSU rRNA". It matches the Rfam family "Bacterial small subunit ribosomal RNA", at positions 362 to 776 of the family's 1533-position model. The record is from RNAcentral.